Long non-coding RNA from Humulus lupulus (European hop), 287 nucleotides. RefSeq lists it as uncharacterized. The record is from RefSeq and is a predicted model, not a curated record. NCBI's taxonomy places the organism in Eukaryota, Viridiplantae, Streptophyta, Magnoliopsida, Rosales, Cannabaceae. The transcript has 3 exons.
GGUAUGUUGAGUAUCCCGACGAAGGUCCAUGGUAUGAACUGUUGGUCAUUCCACUUCGUUUUGAGCUACUUUGUUCAAUCAUGAUCCCCAUAUCAAUUAAGGUGUCCCUUGACCUUGUGAAGAGCUUGUAUGCAAAGUUUAUUGAUUGGGAUGAUAAAAUGAUUGACCAUGAGACUAUUACUCCAGCCCAUGCAACAAAUACAGCAAUCAGCGAGGACUUGGGCCAGGUUGAGUACAUUUUGACUGACAAAACUGGUACUCUAACAAAAAAUAAGAUGAUCUUUAGA